ACCCUACGGGGGGCAGCAGUGGGGGAUAUUGCACAAUGGGGGGAACCCUGAUGCAGCGACGCCGCGUGGGCGAUGGAGUGCUUCGGCAUGUAAAGCCCUAUCAGCAGGGAAGAAAAUGACGGUACCUGACUAAGAAGCCCCGGCUAACUACGUGCCAGCAGCCGCGGUAAUACGUAGGGGGCAAGCGUUAUCCGGAUUUACUGGGUGUAAAGGGAGCGUAGACGGCAUAGCAAGUCUGAUGUGAAAGAUCGGGGCUCAACCCCGGGCCUGCAUUGGAAACUGUUAAGCUGGAGUACAGGAGAGGG
This 305-nucleotide ribosomal RNA is filed under the name uncultured bacterium. RNAcentral's name for it is "bacterial SSU rRNA". It matches the Rfam family "Bacterial small subunit ribosomal RNA", at positions 335 to 658 of the family's 1533-position model. The record is from RNAcentral.